GAAAUCCUGUCUGAACGUGGGGGGACCACCCUCCAAGCCUAAGUACUCCUCAGCGACCGAUAGUGAACAAGUACCGUGAGGGAAAGGUGAAAAGCACCCCGACGAGGGGAGUGAAAUAGCACCUGAAACCGAAUGCUUACAAACAGUGGGAGCUCAAGAUUCGUUCUGGGUGACCGCGUACCUUUUGUAUAAUGGGUCAGCGACUUAAUCUGACGAGCAAGCUUAAGCCGGUAGGUGUAGGCGCAGCGAAAGCGAGUCUGAACAGGGCGUUCAGUUCGUCGGAUUAGACCCGAAACCGGGUGAUCUAGCCAUGAGCAGGUUGAAGGUAAGGUAACACUUACUGGAGGACCGAACCGGUGCCUGUUGAAAAAGUCUCGGAUGACUUGUGGCUAGGGGUGAAAGGCCAAUCAAACUCGGAAAUAGCUGGUUCUCCGCGAAAGCUAUUUAGGUAGCGCCUCGUGUGAAUACUCCGGGGGGUAGAGCACUGGAUGGGUGAGGGGUGCUUACCGCAUUACCAAUCCUAACCAAACUCCGAAUACCCGGAAGUACUGCACGGGAGACACACGGCGGGUGCUAACGUCCGUCGUGGAGAGGGAAACAACCCUGACUUACAGCUAAGGCCCCCAAUUCGUGGCUAAGUGUGAAAGGAUGUGGGAAUCCCAAAACAACCAGGAGGUUGGCUUAGAAGCAGCCAUCCUUUAAAGAAAGCGUAACAGCUCACUGGUCUAAACAAGGGUUCCUGCGCCGAAAAUGUAUCGGGGCUCAAGCCACGAGCCGAAGCUUAAGGUUUGCACUUUGUGCAAGCGGUAGCGGAGCGUUCCAUAAGCCAACGAAGGCGGACCCGUGAGGGCUGCUGGAGGUAUUGGAAGUGCGAAUGCUGACAUGAGUAACGACAAACAGUGUGAAAGACACUGUCGCCGAAAGUCCAAGGGUUCCUGCGUAAAGUUAAUCUCCGCAGGGUUAGCCGGCCCCUAAGGCGAGGCCGAAAGGCGUAGUCGAUGGGAAUGAGGUGAAUAUUCCUCAGCCAGUUGGUAGUGACGGAUCGCGUACGCUGUCAGAUCUUAUUGGAUUGAUCUGGCUUCCAAGCGGUUCCAGGAAAUAGCUCCAACAUGAGACCGUACCCGAAACCGACACAGGUGGACUGGUAGAGUAUACCAAGGCGCUUGAGAGAACUAUGCUGAAGGAACUCGGCAAUUUACCUCCGUAACUUCGGGAUAAGGAGGCCCAGUGCUUAGGCAACUAGGCAUUGGGGGCACAGACCAGGGGGUAGCGACUGUUUAACUAAAACACAGGGCUCUGCGAAAUCGUAAGAUGACGUAUAGGGUCUGACGCCUGCCCGGUGCCGGAAGGUUAAAAGGAGGUGUGCAAGCACCGAAUUGAAGCCCCGGUAAACGGCGGCCGUAACUAUAACGGUCCUAAGGUAGCGAAAUUCCUUGUCGGGUAAGUUCCGACCUGCACGAAUGGCGUAACGACUUCCCCGCUGUCUCCAGCAUAGACUCAGUGAAA
This 1506-nucleotide ribosomal RNA is filed under the name Brevundimonas sp. RNAcentral describes it as "partial 23S ribosomal RNA". It matches the Rfam family "Bacterial large subunit ribosomal RNA", at positions 428 to 2041 of the family's 2925-position model. The record is from RNAcentral. Lineage: Bacteria; Pseudomonadati; Pseudomonadota; Alphaproteobacteria; Caulobacterales; Caulobacteraceae.